UGGGGAAUUUUGGACAAUGGGCGAAAGCCUGAUCCAGCAAUGCCGCGUGUGUGAAGAAGGCCUUCGGGUUGUAAAGCACUUUUGUCCGGAAAGAAAUCCUUGGCUCUAAUACAGUCGGGGGAUGACGGUACCGGAAGAAUAAGCACCGGCUAACUACGUGCCAGCAGCCGCGGUAAUACGUAGGGUGCAAGCGUUAAUCGGAAUUACUGGGCGUAAAGCGUGCGCAGGCGGUUUGCUAAGACCGAUGUGAAAUCCCCGGGCUCAACCUGGGAACUGCAUUGGUGACUGGCAGGCUAGAGUAUGGCAGAGGGGGUAGAAUUCCACGUGUAGCAGUGAAAUGCGUAGAGAUGUGGAGGAAUACCGAUGGCGAAGGCAGCCCCCUGGGCCAAUACUGACGCUCAUGCACGAAAAGCGUGGGGAGCAAAACAGGAUUAGAUACCCUGGUAGUCCACGCCCUAAACGAUGUCAACUAGUUGUUGGGGAUUCAUUUCCUUAGUAACGUAGCUAACGCGUGAAGUUGACCGCCUGGGGAGUACGGUCGCAAGAUUAAAAC
This 553-nucleotide ribosomal RNA is filed under the name uncultured bacterium. RNAcentral's name for it is "partial 16S ribosomal RNA". It matches the Rfam family "Bacterial small subunit ribosomal RNA", at positions 355 to 900 of the family's 1533-position model. The record is from RNAcentral.